GCGAACGGGUGAGUAACGCGUGAGGAACCUGCCUCAAAGAGGGGGACAACAGUUGGAAACGACUGCUAAUACCGCAUAAGCCCACGGCUCGGCAUCGAGCAGAGGGAAAAGGAGUGAUCCGCUUUGAGAUGGCCUCGCGUCCGAUUAGCUAGUUGGUGAGGUAACGGCCCACCAAGGCGACGAUCGGUAGCCGGACUGAGAGGUUGAACGGCCACAUUGGGACUGAGACACGGCCCAGACUCCUACGGGAGGCAGCAGUGGGGAAUAUUGCACAAUGGGGGAAACCCUGAUGCAGCGACGCCGCGUGGAGGAAGAAGGUCUUCGGAUUGUAAACUCCUGUUGUUGAGGAAGAUAAUGACGGUACUCAACAAGGAAGUGACGGCUAACUACGUGCCAGCAGCCGCGGUAAAACGUAGGUCACAAGCGUUGUCCGGAAUUACUGGGUGUAAAGGGAGCGCAGGCGGGAGAACAAGUUGGAAGUGAAAUCCAUGGGCUCAACCCAUGAACUGCUUUCAAAACUGUUUUUCUUGAGUAGUGUAGAGGUAGGCGGAAUUCCCGGUGUAGCGGUGGAAUGCGUAGAUAUCGGGAGGAACACCAGUGGCGAAGGCGGCCUACUGGGCACCAACUGACGCUGAGGCUCGAAAGUGUGGGUAGCAAACAGGA
RNAcentral lists this ribosomal RNA (663 nucleotides) under uncultured Lachnospiraceae bacterium. Its description in RNAcentral is "bacterial SSU rRNA". It matches the Rfam family "Bacterial small subunit ribosomal RNA", at positions 98 to 777 of the family's 1533-position model. The record is from RNAcentral. Lineage: Bacteria; Bacillati; Bacillota; Clostridia; Lachnospirales; Lachnospiraceae.